Molecule: small RNA, 114 nt
Filed under: Marmota monax (woodchuck)
Lineage: Eukaryota; Metazoa; Chordata; Mammalia; Rodentia; Sciuridae
Source: RNAcentral
GCCGGGCACUGUGGCAUAUGCCUAUAAUCCCAGCAACUCAGGAGGCUGAGGCAGGAGGAUCACAAGUUCAAGGCCAGCCUGAGCAAUCCUUUUUAUUUUGAGAUCCUGUCUCAA